UCAGCAGCGUCGCUGAGCGAACCGGGCCGAGGACCCAGUGCAGUCCUGGGGUGAAGCGCGACCGGGCAUCCAGCCGGUGCGCCGGGCGAGUUCCCCGCCCGAACCCGUCAGCUAACUCGGUAGGCGGUCGUGGAGAACCA
Molecule: small RNA, 140 nt
Filed under: Modestobacter marinus
Lineage: Bacteria; Bacillati; Actinomycetota; Actinomycetes; Geodermatophilales; Geodermatophilaceae
Description: c-di-AMP sequence
Rfam family: c-di-AMP riboswitch aptamer (ydaO/yuaA leader)
About the family: This family represents a conserved RNA structure found upstream of the ydaO and yuaA genes in Bacillus subtilis and related genes in other bacteria.
Source: Rfam by way of RNAcentral